Molecule: ribosomal RNA, 458 nt
Filed under: uncultured bacterium
Lineage: Bacteria
Description: SSU rRNA
Rfam family: Bacterial small subunit ribosomal RNA
Source: RNAcentral
AGAAUCAACGCUGGCGGCGUGCCUAACACAUGCAAGUCGAACGAGAAAGUGGAGCAAUCCAUGAGUAAAGUGGCGACCGGGUGAGUAACACGUGACUAACCUACCUUCGAGUGGGGGAUAACCUCGGGAAACCGAGGCUAAUACCGCAUAACAUCGCAAGAUCAAAGCAGCAAUGCGCUGGAAGAGGGGGUCGCGGCUGAUUAGCUAGUUGGCGGGGUAAUGGCCCACCAAGGCGAAGAUCGGUAGCCGGCCUGAGAGGGCGCACGGCCACACUGGAACUGAAACACGGUCCAGACUCCUACGGGAGGCAGCAGUGGGGAAUUUUGCGCAAUGGGGGAAACCCUGACGCAGCAACGCGCGUGGAGGAUGAAGCCCCUUGGGGUGUAAACUCCUUUCGACCAAGACGAUAAUGACGGUACUGGUGGAAGAAGCACCGGCUAACUCUGCGCCAGCAGCCG